RNAcentral lists this long non-coding RNA (3388 nucleotides) under Ricinus communis (castor bean). Its description in RNAcentral is "long non-coding RNA (RCOM_LNC001811)". Lineage: Eukaryota; Viridiplantae; Streptophyta; Magnoliopsida; Malpighiales; Euphorbiaceae. The record is from RNAcentral.
CAAACCGAUCAAAAAGAAAAACAAUUACUAAAAAGCAAUUGACAAAUUCAGUAACCAAGAAUAAUAAUGACAAAUAAAAAAGAAUGGCUACUUAAAUAGUUUUAACUUUCAAAGGAAUAUACAAAUGCACACAAUCCAUUAAACUCAGUACAACACAAGAAAUCAUUCUGCAUUGUACAAUCUUGAUAAACAAGAAGAUUAACUACAAAGUGAAUAUGCCAAGGAAAGGAAAAGAAAAAAAUAAAAUAAAAGCAUACCCAAACCCUCGAGAGACAGUGGUGGACAAUGGGGCAAAGCUUUACCCUGUAUCAAAAAAAAAAAAAGGAGAUUGAUCAAUAAGGAAACUCAGCAUAUCAACCUGGAAUACAAAACACAACAACAAACAUAUUACUUGCAGCCAGUGAGCUAAACCAGCAUACCAUUAGACACGCAUACUAACACUCAUUUUUCAAAUAUAUAACCUUCACUUAAAAUGAAAAUUCAAAAAAACACAGCAACUAAAAGAAAAGAAUCCAGAUGAGGAAAAAAGAAUUGGAGAAAGAUUUCUAUCACCUAGGUUACUGAGGUGGCAAUUGGCAUCCUUCAAUCCAUAAUAUAUCAAUAGUGAGAAUGGAAUUCCCUGUAUAUAUAUGUGUGUGUGAGUAGAACAGCUACUUCAGUACUACCGAAAAGAAUGAGGUGUGGUAGUGAGUUUGGACAAUGAUGGGUUUAUAUAAGGACUCUCCAAAUCCAACCCAUGAUGUCUCCAAUCCAAUGUCAUCAACUUUGUCUUUGCCUAGUUCAGGCUUCACCUUACUUCUCAAACACAAAGCAUUCUUUUGCUUCUGACUUUUGAGACACUGGAUUUUUUAACUAAACAAAGGUGUGGCAGUUAUUGUAACUUUUUCUUUCUUUCUUUCUUUCUUUCUUUCUUUUUUGGUCUAAUUUAUUGAAGAAGACAUUUAACAAAAAUUACAAUUAGUGGAAAAGAUCCUGUGUAAUUUGCUUUACUUUACUAAAUAUUGACAGAUUCUUCUCAUAAUGUAUAGAUUUUGUGCAUUUGAUUUUGUGGGGUGGGGCUAUGUUCAGUGUAUAUAGAUGCUCCAUUUUUGUAAAGAAAAAGUUGUCAUUCCAGACUGCAAGUUACUGUAAAUAGCCAAAACAAGGGAUCAUGGAUUUUACCUCCUCUUGCUUUUGGGACUGUAUUAAGUUGCAUAAUUGUGAUGGGGUCAAAGGAAUCAUCAUCGUAUCAGAUUCUCCAUUUACAUCAUCCUGUUAAUAGACAAAAGAAAAAUCAAAACAUAUAUAUAUAUAUAUAUAUGUGUGUGUUAUAAAACUUAAUUUUCAUUUAAUAAAAAAUUUAAAACAAGUCUUGUUGAUUUUAAUAGAGUCAAGACUUAUUAUCAAUUAAUUGUUUAUAAUAUAUUGGACGGAUAUUAUUAUUAUUAUUAUUUUAAUUAUAAAAUUAAAUUUAUAAAUAUAAUUUAAUAAAUUUUUUAAUAUUUAAUAUUAAUUUAUAAUAUUUUAAAAAAUAAUAAAUUAUAUAAUUAAAACAUUUAUUAAUUAUUAGAUAUAAUAUUAUAAUUAUAAUUUAAAAUGUUAUUUUUAAAUUUAUAAUUAUUAUUUAAUUAAAAAUUAAUUUAUUAAUUAACUUUGGCCGGAUUAUUCAUAAUUGCAUAUUUACAAUACAAGGCGGGGUGAUUAGUUAGACCUUUAAUUAAUUAAUUAAUUAAUUAACACCUUGUUUUUUUGACUUCUUUUUUUCUUUAAUCGGCAGGAAGUCAAAUUUAGAUUGCUAUAUAAUAUUAAAAUAUAAUUAAUAUAUUAUUUUUUAGAAUAUAAUUUGUAUUAUUAUCUAAUUAUAAAAAUUAUUUAUUAAUUUAUAUAAUUAAAAUAUAAUUAAUAUGUUAUUUUUUGAGAUUAGAGAUAAUAACUCAUUAAUCAAUAAAUUAAUAAAAAAAUUAUAUAAUUAAAUAUAAACUUAAAUAUUAUAUUCAAAAUUAAAUAUAAACUUAAAUAUUAUGUCUAAAAAUAAAUAUACAUAUCAAAAUAAAAAAUUUAUAUCGAGAAUCAAGCAUAUAUAUAUAUAUAUAUAUAUAUAUAUAUAUAUAUAUACACUCUCACACGUACACGUCUCAAAAUAAAAAUUACACGUUAAUAUAGAAUAAAAUUUAAUUUUCAUUAAGGGCAAACAUAUAAUUAUAUAAAAAGUGUAGAUUCCUUAUUUAAAUUUUUAUGUAAUUAAAGUGGCUCUUUCCCUGAAUAUCUCCAUUUCACUUUUAUAAUUUUAUAAUGGUUAAAAAAUUUUAGUUUUAAUGUAUUAUCUUAAAAUAAUUACAUAUUUAUAUGUAAUAAAAUAAUAGUUUGAAGUUUGACCCAAAUAUGGAUACAUCUGCACUCUAUAUAUUAUUCUUAAAAGAAUAUCAAAGCACGACGCUGAAGACAUUUUCAUAAAAAAAAUAUUUAUCUUAUAUAAAUAUUAAUUAUUAUUUUUAAAUAAUAAAUUUUAAUAAAGGAAAAAUACUUACUUACUCACAUAAUAAGUUAUAAUUUACUUAUUUUUAAUAAUAUAAGUUAUAUUCUGAAGUUUAAUAUAAUUAAUUUUAUAAUUUACAACGCGUAUUUACAUAAAUAUCUAUUUUUUUAAUAAUAUUUACCUUCGCAUGUGAUAAAAGUGCAAAAAUUAAUCACUUCAGCAUUUUAACAUAUGAGUGCUCCUUGAGUUUUGAAUAAAUUAUAGGUAAUUGACAUAUUCUUAUGCUAUGAUAAGGAAAAAGGAAUCAAAAGAGAUUUAGAUUACCUGAGAGUUUCCUAUCAAAUUGGAGUCAGAACAUGGAGGAAUUGAAUAUUGCCAUCUCUACAUUUUAAAAUAUUAAUCACAUAAAUAUUUAUAUAUCUUUAAUAUUUUAUCAAACAAAUACCUCCGUUUUUAUUUGUAAAUAUUUCGAUAACUUCCUUCGAGAAGGAAACGGACGUGAAUUCUUUUUCUUUAUAAUUUUUUUAUUUUUCUUACCCUGGUGAAGAAAAAUAAGAUAAUUAAAUAAGAAGUGUAAGACCAAAUUUGGUGAGCGAUUUGCAUAUUAUCAAUUAAAAUUAGUUUUUAGUGUCUUAAUUAUCACCAAUGAGCAACAUGAAUUCUUAAAUUAUUAGCAUAUUUUAAGCUUGCUACAAAAACGCAAAUGAAUUUAACAUGAAUGUGAUUAGCUUCAAAAGUUAAACGAUCAGCAGUGCAAAAAAAGGUAAAAACGAAUACGAUUCACUCACCAUUGUCUUGAAAACGAGAGCUAAUUACGAGAAUUGAAUAUUUGAAACUUCAUAUGUUUUGUGAUACAUUCUGCCGAUAAAUAUUAAACUAGAAAUAAGAAGAGAAUGGAUCUUAAUAUUUAAACAUAAAGUGAAUAAAAUAUCG